This 72-nucleotide microRNA precursor is filed under the name Procavia capensis (Cape rock hyrax). RNAcentral describes it as "miRNA (ENSPCAG00000020153.1)". Lineage: Eukaryota; Metazoa; Chordata; Mammalia; Hyracoidea; Procaviidae. The record is from RNAcentral.
UCUUACUAAAAUGCAGAUUCUGAUGCAGUAGGUCUGGGAUCAGGCAUGAGACUCUGCAUUUUUAACAAGUUC